ACAAGCUUUCGGGUGAACCUCCCUUUCUCAAGUCUGUCAGAAAUGCUUCAGACUUGAGAAAGGGAGGUUCUCCCGAAAGCUUG
Molecule: non-coding RNA, 83 nt
Organism: Pelobates cultripes (western spadefoot toad)
Lineage: Eukaryota; Metazoa; Chordata; Amphibia; Anura; Pelobatidae
Source: the annotation of a GenBank genome assembly